CUCGACCGCAAUCAAUCAGUUAUUUGUCAGCUCUUGUCAAUCUGCCCGUGAUUUAUGUCAGCUUUUGUUGCUGAUUACAAGGCGGGUGAGACUUGAAGAGAAAAAGAGAGACCGAGAGUGAGACAGAGGAAGGAAGAGACCGAGAAGGAACUAAAGGAGGGUGAUAGAGGAGCAGCCUCCUGGGAUGUGUGUGUGUGUGUGUGUGUGUGUGUGUGUGUGUGUGUGUGUGUCUGUGUAGGGGGAAGAGGUGCCCACCGUCAGGAAAAUGAAAUAGUGAGAGUUAAGUGCGCAGGUGCAUCCAGGACGCCGAGUCGGACGCACCGGCCUGGAGUGUGCGCCUUCCCUCCCCGUGUUGGAGAGACAGACACCUUGGGGUGCUUUGAUUUACCAAAGCACCCAAAUCUGCUUUGGGUAGCAGAGUUCGGGGACUGCUUGGUAUCUAAGAACAGAGGCGGAGAAGACGCCUAACACGGGAGGUUUUCUGCCUCUCUGGGAUAAUUCCCUCCCAGGCGUGUAACUUGAGGAUGUCCGGCUGCUGCCCUCGGUAGUGUCCCUACCCCCAACUCAGGAACUUCUUUCCAAAGAGCCACACCACCAAAGUAGCUCGAGUCCUGGAAGUUACUGGCGGGGUAACCCUCCUUAAUUCUGUGGCCCGGGUUCGUAACGAGGGUUGAAAAACUCCAGAGAAGAGGCCCGGCCAUGUGCAUAGACAGACAGGUCUCAGGCUCGCUCUUUCCUCUCCCCGGUCCUUCUCCACUACCCUCCGCGCGCCAACCCGACAGUUCUGGAAGCCAGGCCUGGAAUUACCCGGAGUGGCUCGACCAAAUAUAGUGGAUCGUCCAGACAGGACUGACCUGAGCCGGGAGAGCGAGAGGGAGGGGCGGCUGCCUGUGGGAACCGGUUCUUCCAGGGAAGCGCAGCGGGACUGCUGCGUUCCCCUCUAUUUGUGCCGUCGCUCCGGUUGUUUGGAAAGAAGAGGGAGGCGCUGUGCGUGCCGCCCUGUACCUGGACCUAGGUGCACAGCGUGUGUGCACUCCAGCGCCGCUGGGCGAAUACUCUGAACUUCCGUGAGGUCCGGAGCCAGUUCGAGGGUCACCUCCAGAAACUCGCUGAAGUAGAAGGGGGUGAGCGGAGGACACACCCCCUCCCUCGGACUUGAAAGACUUUGAAUUUCCCCUCCUCCCACCCCACUUUUCCGAAGAGCUCUUCUUUUGUUGUCAAGUCCUUUUGAUGAAUGGUGGGGCUAGGAGCGCUGGGAGCCGGGAGCGGAUCUGCGCCCUGUACAGGGGCGGGGGCCGAGCUUGGAGACCGGUUCCCGACUAUCGCUCUCUCUGAUCUGAACCGGGUACUUGAAGGGGUCUGGUUGGGGACUCCCUUCCCUUUGGCUUGGUAGCCCAUUCCUCUCCCACCACCCCAGUCUCUUUUUCCCUUCUGUCUUUUUUUUUUUUUUUUUUUUGUCUCUCACUCCAUGAGGGUAAUGAGAACUUUCUGGAAUGGGGAUGAGUUUCAGAAUUUUCUUGUAGGUAUUCUUCCACUCCGUUUUGAUUUUAUUCCUUGAUUCCUUAGGUUGGCAAAGUUAAUGAGCUGGUAACUCGAUUAAUGCUAAUUUGGAGAGAAGAGGUGGUUUGUGCUUGGAGCUGGUUUUGUGUGUGUGUGUGUGUGUGUGUGUGUGUGUUAUUAACACCGACACUCAGGAAGGUUUGUGGUGCCCCUGCGACAAUUGAGGAAGGUAAGUCUGAGACCGUGGUAAGAUAUCACGCAGGAUUGUGACGGCUGCCUGAUUAAUUCCUGGAGAUAAGGAGUCCCGAGUACAGUUUACUAGGGUGGCAGCUCCAAACUCUCUGCCGGGCAAUGUGUCUGAAGCCGUUUGUAGCCUGCGGGUGUUAGUGCCCAACUGUGCCACCGAUUGCGUGGCUGUGAAGGUGUCACCUAUGGCCAACUACUGUGGUCCCAGCGUAGCAAGCUCGUCCUUGGACUGUCUGCCAUUUUGGCCUCUCUUGGCUUAGGCCUGGACAUCGAAAACUGGCGCUGUGGACUGAAGCAAGGGUAGCUGGAGUGUAGGCCGGGGGCGUCCUCAGUGUGAGCCCUUUCCUCCAAUUCCGGUAGUUUUCUCAGUGCACUGGACAGUUCAGGGGAGGCCGCCCCAGCGCUUCGAGUCGGGUGGAAAGCUGGGCCGGCUCUUGCUCCAGCAUGCUUACACGCGCUCAUGGGUAUGCGCCGUGUUCCGAGAGCUCCAGCCGUUCGCCGCCUGCGUUUACUUGGCUCAAAACUCAGCUCUGCAGGUCGGAGCGCACGGGGGCGCUUAGGGGGUCUGCGUUCCAUUGGCUUUGGGGAAACACCAUCAUCCGAUCCCUCGCACCUCUUAAGGGAGGCCAAAUCCCUGAAGGCCGCGCAAGCUAUGUAGGUGUGUGUGUGGUUAUUAAUUACUCCAGGCUAGGCCUAAUUCCUCCAACCCUCUGAGGUGGUAGGCAUGGAUGUCCUGCGGAUUUUAUUUGCACACAAAGGACAUGAUUUGCUUUCUCUGAAAAAAAAAAAAAGGUGUAGGCAUGUAGAUAUUUGAGGAGGUGGAGGAGAGAAGGCGGAAGGGAAGAGGGCUGAGGAAAAAAGUUUGAAAAUGCCUUGAACUAUUCACUGUCGAGAUGGCUAAUCAGUAUUGAGGCCGGAGGGCAGGCGGGCCGCCUUUCACCGCCGCUUCCCUUUCAUCUCUGGCUCGGCGGAGGCGCUCAAUUAAAAGCCUAUCAGUUUGUAAGUAAAUCAACGCCUAUCAGAGUUGUCACAUCAAACAAAACGAUUAUUAUUGCAGCCCGCCUCCCCUAUUAAUCUCCCUCGAAGAUAAUCCGCCUGACAGGUCAGGCCCGGCGAGCUGGAAAGUCUGGCCCAGAGCGCCCAAAGAGUCCUGGACUGGCACAUGCCCCCAGGGGUCUCGGCACCCGGGUUCUGUUCCACCCAACAAUCCCCCACCCACCCCUGAGGUGUGAGAGAAAGGGCAAGUGAGGCCGCUGGAUCCAGACCCUUCUCACCAAACUACAGUUAGGCCAGAGAUUCCCGGAGCCACUGAGGUGAUGGUCAGGUCCGAGCCUAACAGCUUUUAAAACCAGUGAGGUUUGGGGAAGGACGGGGCGUGUGGCCUCGCUUAUUCCUCGGACCUGCUUAUUCCUUGGAGGUUCGCCCAUUUGACUGCUUAUUUUAAAAUUUCCACUCUCUUCUCCUUUUCGUUUCUACUGCAUUUUCUUUCUGGCUCUCUGAACCCUUCAUCUCCGCUUUCCUUUUCUUUCUCUGUUUUGUCAGGGAAUAUUUCUUAUUGCCGUACCCUCCCAAUGUAUAAACCUCUAUACAGUAGUUAUAGUCUCUAAAGGAGGGCAUUCUCAGGGCCCGGGUUAUUUCUCACCCAGCAGGAGUGCGUGCAAGUCUCAGGAUUUCCUGCCUAAAUGUCCUCUAGUUUCUUCCCCAACCGGGGACUUUCAGAGGAUCUUCACCUUCUUAAGGCUUUUGUGCAUUUGGGGACAAGGAAGUAAUUCAGUCAGCACAGGAGAAUUAAAUGUGUGGACUGUGACAAGUCCCUGUUUUGGAAUUAGUAUUAUUUUGCCUCGGAAUUUCACAGUCCCAGCCUAGUUGACCUGGCCAAUAGUCUCUCCAGUGCUUUGCAACUAUCUCAAGACCCACAGGGCAUUGGGAUUUCAGCACUUAGUGGGGGAAGGAGUGCCUAGAAUUUCUUAAGCAACUACACCCAGGUUACUGCUUCCAGGGGCUCACACUAGAGCCUCAAGGACUGGGUGGGGUUUGGCUUCUGAACUCCAGAAGAGUGGCCUUCUUCCUGGUGUUUCUGGCUUCCCACUCUGGUAAUGGCUUAGGAUUGAGCACCACCCACCCUUCUCUGGUUUAUGCCCUUGUCCAAAAUCAUACCCAAAUGUGGCUGCCAGAGCCAGACUAAGUCAGGACUAAGGGCUGAUGGAAGUGUCUGAGGGGAAAGGGUUCUUUGGAGGGACCCCAGGGCCUGCUAGUCUAAACGACAUUGUCUUCAUCCACAAGAACCCUACAAGUACCCUGCAGUUGAACAUCUGUACUGAGCUCUCAAAGCAGCAGCUAUUCCUCUGAGAGUGAAGGCGGAGACUAUCCAGCAAAACCUACUGCAGACUGCUUGGUGCACUGGGGUACAGGACACAUAAGUGCCUCAUUUUGUCCCCACUCUCCAGUCUUAUGAAAAUAAUUUAUUUAUAAACCUAGAAAUACUAUAUAUUCACAUAUAUGCAUAUAUAUGAUGCACUGUGUCUCAGUUACCUGCUGGCCUGCUUUUGUUAUGCAUUUAUUUAGGUCACCUUCACUGUGCUACAGAUACUUAAAGAGCUAUAGACAGGGCACUCCUCAACUCCGGCUGGAGGAGAUAUUCACUGGGUGGCUAUUUAGACAUAAGUUCUGUUUUGGGCCCCAUGACACGCAAGCAAGGGAUGUAAAGAUACAAAUAUAAAAACAAAACAAAGGACUGCUUUAUAAUUUUCCCAACAUAAUUAAUUAUAUGUGCACACAUUUAGAAUUUAAGAAUAUUUUUAUCCUAUAGUUCUCAAUUUCUGAAUUGCUAUGUUAUGUGCCCUUAAAGCCAGAAGCAGUAAGCGGUGUUACUACUGAGUGCCGAGAGGUUUGCGCCAUUUUAUCCUCACAUGGAUAAAACUUACACAUGGCUAUGUAAUAAAUUCAACCUUGUCAUUUUUAGAAUCGACAGAAUUUCUCUGGUAGUCGUUGGUGCUACAUGUAACCGAUUAAGCCCAACCAGUAGGCGUCCAACUGGAAAUGGCUCCUGACUGGCAUGUACCCGUGAGCCUCGGCUUAGUCAUUGGCGCGAGAUGGCUCCCCAUGCCCGAAGGUAGAGGCUACCCCCCCCCCCCGGUUUCGUGGCCUCUCGCUGCUGGUGCUGGGCCUAGUAGCCCCCACAUCCUGGAGCUUCGGAAACCUCCAGGGCUUCUGCAGGGCAGAGUCCGCCCCCAGCGAAAACUGAAAGCAAAUUCCGCCGUGCAGAGUCCGAACUUUGCUUCACCAAAGUUUUCUUCAGGCAAUCAGCGGCGGCUUCGGGAGGACAGAGUUAGUGUGAACACACGAGGGCGGGUCCGGGUGGCCUAGGUUGGCCUGAGGCGCAGUGGAGGCACCCCUAGGUCUUUAUUUUUGUUACUCCUUGGUGCCCACCUCCCAGCUCCCGCCAGAUGAUAUCGAGUGCUUUCCAAACUGCUGCAGACGUCCAGCAUGGGUUACAAGACCAGGAGUAACAGGAGAAGCAGGUUUGUAAGAGCUGUACAAAGUCUUGCCCCAAAUCCUCCGCCUGUCCUGGGAAAAUCUGAGACCAAAUCACCUUCUGUGGGGAGGAAUGUUUAGAAGUCAUUCUGAGCAGUCCCUUGCCCAGCUCUCUGCCCUAACUUUGAAUUAGGUUUAAGUAACCUGGGUCCACCUGUGCUGCAAACUUCCAGCUCCCGCUCCCCUGUCAUUGGAUGAGGGCGAAUGCAGGGACUACUCCUGGAUCGCCUCGGCCUCCAGCAAUGAGUAAAGCUUGCUGGCGAGAAUGAGCUUGGGGUCUGAAAAAGGUGCAAACAGAGCGGUUGGACUCUGGCCGGGGCGACAGCCAGUCUCUCCGCAGGGCCUGUCCCCAGGCCGGGCCGUAGUGGAUCUUCAAGUGCACCCCACUCUUCCUGCACACUCCCCUCUCCUGGAGCCCUCAGCUACAACAAGAUGUACUGUUGAGAAUUUGUCUUCUUCCCACAAUGGCGAACUCCAACGGGCAGAGCCUGGAGCUGUUUCUUGUAAGGAAUGAAUAAAGAGAAAUAAAAAUGUGGUCAACUGCGCUGAACGAGUGGAUAAUGGCAUCUCAGGUUCACCGCACUUGGUGGGGGACACCACUAAGUGUGCUCACAGCCUGUUCUUGGUUUAGAGAGGGAAAUAAUGCAAAUCAUAUUAAGAAAUGGCUAUGUUGAGUCCUUGUAUUGUAAAUGCUAAUUAAGAGGAUGCUGGAGGAGCACUGGAGAGAUGGCUCAGUGGUUAAGAGCAAUGGCUGCUCUUCCAGAGGACCCGGGUUCAAUUCCCAGCACCCACAUGACAGCUCACAACUGUCUGCAAGUCCAGAUCUAGGAGAUCUGACACCUUCGUACCAACACACAAAAUAAAUAAGUUAAAUAAAUUAAAAAAGGAGAUGCUGGAGGAGUUAGAGAAGAGCAGCAUCUUACUUGGGCUUUAAACUGGAAGAUGUGCAGCUUGAUCAGAUGCAGAGGGAGCAUGCCUUGGCUCAUAACCCCUCUUCCCUGUGUUCAGCAUAUAUACACAUCAAGGUUCUAUGACUCUGCUGGAAGAGCUGCCCACAGCCCAGCCUGGUGGCCCCUUUUCUUUUGGUCUCUUCACAGAUUAUGGCAAUCUCUGUUUGUUUCUUUCUGUCUUCGGACUGAGUUGCCACUACAGCUGGCUCAUUCUUCUGCCUGUCCUCACACUCUCUAAUCCGCCUGUCACACCUGCCUGGUUAAUUUUCCUGAUUACAUCAUUCCCUCUCUCAGAAACCUUCAGUGACUCCCCAUUGUCCAUGCAGAACAUUAACUCUUCAGAAAGUAUGGCUUCAGAGCACGUAUAGAAAGCUUUAAGUUGUACACCGAAGCUAUGCAUGCUCAUGUCAAUCAGGAGAAUACUCAAAGAUAUAAAAAGAAAAAAAAAUGAUUCACCCCUCCAAUCCCACCGAGGUACUCACUGUGAGCUGGUUUUGAGUACUUUUUUUUUUUUUUGUCAGGUUCUGGGGAUCAUGCUCAGAGGCCUGGUGCAGUCUAAGUACUUUACCCUAGAGCUGUAGCCCCAGCCAUUACAUAAACAACAACAAAAUACAUUUAUUGUGUGUGUGUGUGUGUGUGUGUGUGUGUGUGUGUGUGUACACACACAUGCACAUGCCACAGCACCUAUAUGGAAGUGAGAGGACAGCUUUUUUAUUUUAUACUUUAUUGUUUUUAAUUAAACUAUACACCCUCCCCUGACCCCCACACUCCCAUUUGCUCAGGAGAUCUUGUCUCUUUCUCCUUCCUAGGUGAAUCCACGUAUGUCUCUCCUAGGGUCCUCUUUGUUCAGAGGACAACUUUUAGUAACAAAUUCUUUCCUUCUGCCGUGUAAGUUCUGGUGAUUGAGGCCAGGUCUCCAGACAGCAAGAGCUUUAUCCACUGAGCCAUCUCA
Molecule: long non-coding RNA, 7182 nt
Organism: Alexandromys fortis (reed vole)
Lineage: Eukaryota; Metazoa; Chordata; Mammalia; Rodentia; Cricetidae
Exons: 3
Source: RefSeq, a predicted model, not a curated record